This 64-nucleotide transfer RNA is filed under the name Leptodora kindtii. Its description in RNAcentral is "tRNA-Ala". It matches the Rfam family "tRNA". From Rfam's summary of the family: Transfer RNA (tRNA) molecules are approximately 80 nucleotides in length. Lineage: Eukaryota; Metazoa; Arthropoda; Branchiopoda; Diplostraca; Leptodoridae. The record is from RNAcentral.
AGGAGUGUAGUUAACCAUAACAUUUGAUUUGCAUUCAAAAGGUACUUUAUACGAGUCUCUCUUA